Molecule: long non-coding RNA, 2015 nt
Organism: Oncorhynchus gorbuscha (pink salmon)
Lineage: Eukaryota; Metazoa; Chordata; Actinopteri; Salmoniformes; Salmonidae
Exons: 9
Source: RefSeq, a predicted model, not a curated record
CUCUAAGACGCUUCAUGACUACAGGCGCAGGUCUGUUCUAAACAGUGCAUUUCUAUCUGAAUGAUUUAUGAUGUGUGGGCCAAGGUGUAAAGUGGGCAUGGUUAUGUACCUGUGGUGUGGUAAUGUAGGCGAUGACACGUUCCAGCUCUGCAGUGAAGGAGGGCUCACCUGAUGCCCACUGCUGCAGCUCAAACCCUCUACCUCUCUCCUGUGGGGAGACACACGAGUCAGCAGGUUUUCCUGAAAUUUGACAUCGCACUUACUAGUUUAUAAGAGACAAAGCUGUAUGAUGGGUCUGGAACUGAAGUUGAUGGGGAUGUGUUUGAGAAGGUGGUGAAACGGACAGAUCUGGGUGUUUUCAAGCUCACACUGAACAAUGAUGCUAAAGAAUCUUCCCUGAUGAGUCCUGUCUCUGCCAGUUCUGUGAUGGGUGGUUCAGACCAUGAGUCGGUUGAUACAAUCAUUUUGAGUGAGGAUGGAAGCCCCUCGCGAAAGUGUCAGAGAUCUGAUGACGGAGCAAAGAAAUCUAAUAGAGAGCAUACUGAAGAAAAAGCCAGGUGGAGAGGUUGUCAUCAAGGAAUACUCCAAAACUAAAAGCCUGACUGACUGCACCAGACGAAAGAUGAUCAACAUUCUUGUUUCGGAGAUGACAGAGACUCACGGGACAUCACCACCGCGCAGUGGGAGAGAAACGUCUGCACAAGGCAUCGUCUCUUUGUUCCCAUACCUGAAGGAUCCCUACACUGAAAAUGGAUAUGCAGGAACAUUAUUACCACCCUAAUAGUGGAGAAGGGUACCUCUCGUAUAGAAUCAAAACAAUUCAGAGGAAUUUGGUUUCAUCAGAGAAACGGCCCACUCAACUAUAAUCUGGAGGGCCAACUGCUGAGAGGGAGUCCAGUCCAUCCACUUUGGCUACCCUGAGUGAAGACCAGUGCAGAGAGGCCAUUUCUCUUAUGAAGCAUUCUUCUGAUGAAGAAACAGAAGAUGAGAUUGACCUUUGAGUACAGGAACAUGACCCACAACCCGAGUAAAUGCUCCACCAUCCUAUCCGAAUUUCCACGCUUUCUGGAUGUGAAGGGCUUGUUUCAGAUUGAACAGGAUUUUGUGCUGCUGUUUGGAGAGGGAACAUCAGCCAAGGUUUUGGAGAGGUGGCCAACUACAUUCAAGCAAAAGAUCAUCAUGCUAAGCAAGACCCUAAGCAAGACCCUAAGCAAGGCCCUAAGCAAGGCACUAAGCAAGGCCCUAAGCAAGGCCCUAAGCAAGACCCUAAGCAAGGCCCUAAGCAAGGCCCUAAGCAAGGCCCUAAGCAAGGCCCUAAGCAAGGCCACUCAGGGAGCUGAACUUCAGGAGCUGAUCCAGAUGGCAGAAUCUGCAGUUGAUGAGGGAACUGACAUGAAUGCUGACGGACCUCUUUGAUUAGGAUGGGAAGGUGACCUUUCCUCCAUUUGAUUCCUCCUUCAUCACAAGGCCGCAAAAGACCAGGCAAGAUGUCUGCAUCUCAAGCUGAACAGCAUCUUGUGAUAUUCCAAAAGGCAGGAACCAGUAUCCAGCAGCACCUUGAUGCGAUUGACCAGAGCCGCCAACCAUAUCUUCUUGCAGUCGGGACCAGGAAGAGCAGCAUCCAUGCUUACUUCAUCAUCCUGGACAAGAGCGCCUUACAAGUCAACGAGCGCUCUUGGUGCUUCGAUGAGCUUUUCAAGACUCACUUUGUUUUUGGUACUGCUUACAAUACAAUGCUGCACAGCAUGUUCACCUUCAUACAGACAACUGUGUACAUCAUAGACAUUGGGAAGGUUAAGGGGACUCCAGGGGUUGCUGAGCUCAGAGCUAGACCUCUGCACUAAUGCUGAUAUGUUUUGUUUGCCAUGCUAGUCAUGGAAGUACCAACCUGCUCGUAAGGAAUCUCAAGUUGAUACAUGGAAUGUUCCCUGUUAGAACUCUUAGAAUAAAAUGUGGUCAAGCAGAUUGUUGUCGUGUCUUUGGUUGUCGUGUAUUUUCAGACUUUAGGAAGCAUU